This 253-nucleotide ribosomal RNA is filed under the name uncultured bacterium. RNAcentral describes it as "partial 16S ribosomal RNA". It matches the Rfam family "Bacterial small subunit ribosomal RNA", at positions 524 to 776 of the family's 1533-position model. The record is from RNAcentral.
UACGUAGGGACCAAGCGUUGUUCGGAUUUACUGGGCGUAAAGGGCGCGUAGGCGGCAAUUCAAGUCAGUUGUGAAAUCUCCGAGCUUAACUCGGAACGGUCAACUGAUACUGCUUUGCUAGAGUACAGAAGGGGCAACUGGAAUUCUCGGUGUAGCGGUGAAAUGCGUAGAUAUCGAGAGGAACACCUGCGGCGAAGGCGGGUUGCUGGGCUGACACUGACGCUGAUGCGCGAAAGCUAGGGGAGCGAACGGG